This 253-nucleotide ribosomal RNA is filed under the name uncultured bacterium. Its description in RNAcentral is "partial 16S ribosomal RNA". It matches the Rfam family "Bacterial small subunit ribosomal RNA", at positions 524 to 776 of the family's 1533-position model. The record is from RNAcentral.
UACGGGGGGGGCAAGCGUUGUUCGGAAUUACUGGGCGUAAAGGGCUCGUAGGUGGCCAACUAAGUCAGACGUGAAAUCCCUCGGCUUAACCGGGGAACUGCGUCUGAUACUGGAUGGCUUGAGUUUGGGAGAGGAAUGCGGAAUUCCAGGUGUAGCGGUGAAAUGCGUAGAUAUCUGGAGGAACACCGGUGGCGAAGGCGGCAUUCUGGACCAAUACUGACGUUGAGGAGCGAAAGCUAGGGGAGCAAACGGG